UGACACCUAACAGUAUGUAGUGGCAAUACAGUAAAAUUGAAAUGAACCUCUAGAUGUAGUUAAUGUAUGAUUCAGUUCUUCUAUCGUGAGUCCCAACUAGAUGGUAGGUCAUAGAUAAAUCAUCAAACCUCAACAUCAGUUAUAUGAUAGAUUCGAUCAGCUCAAGUCUAAAUGUGAUUCUUGUGAAAACUCUUUUUCAUCAAUCACACUACUGUGGC
RNAcentral lists this long non-coding RNA (218 nucleotides) under Elaeis guineensis (African oil palm). RNAcentral's name for it is "long non-coding RNA (EGUI_LNC066962)". The record is from RNAcentral. Lineage: Eukaryota; Viridiplantae; Streptophyta; Magnoliopsida; Arecales; Arecaceae.